This 253-nucleotide ribosomal RNA is filed under the name uncultured bacterium. RNAcentral's name for it is "partial 16S ribosomal RNA". It matches the Rfam family "Bacterial small subunit ribosomal RNA", at positions 524 to 776 of the family's 1533-position model. The record is from RNAcentral.
UACGGAGGGGACUAGCGUUGUUCGGAAUUACUGGGCGUAAAGCGCACGUAGGCGGAUUUGUAAGUCAGGGGGGAAAUCCCGGGGCUCAACCUCGGAACUGCCUUUGAUACUGCAAAUCUCGAGUCCGGAAGAGGUGAGUGGAAUUCCUAGUGUAGAGGUGAAAUUCGUAGAUAUUAGGAAGAACACCAGUGGCGAAGGCGGCUCACUGGUCCGGUACUGACGCUGAGGUGCGAAAGCGUGGGGAGCAAACAGG